Massospora cicadina is the source of this 69-nucleotide non-coding RNA. NCBI's taxonomy places the organism in Eukaryota, Fungi, Entomophthoromycota, Entomophthoromycetes, Entomophthorales, Entomophthoraceae. The record is from the annotation of a GenBank genome assembly.
GGGUAAUGGUAUAGUUGGUAGCACAUCUGACUAACACUCAGGAGGCUCAUGUUCUAAUCCUGCUCUUCA